This 200-nucleotide ribosomal RNA is filed under the name uncultured prokaryote. RNAcentral's name for it is "partial 16S ribosomal RNA". It matches the Rfam family "Bacterial small subunit ribosomal RNA", at positions 1183 to 1382 of the family's 1533-position model. The record is from RNAcentral.
CGUCAAGUCAUCAUGGCCCUUACGAGUAGGGCUACACACGUGCUACAAUGGGAGAUACAGACGGACGCUAAGCCGCGAGGUGGUGCUAAUCCUAGAAAGUCUCUCGUAGUCCGGAUUGGAGUCUGCAACUCGACUCCAUGAAGUCGGAAUCGCUAGUAAUCGCGGAUCAGCAUGCCGCGGUGAAUACGUUCUCGGGUCUU